Gallus gallus (chicken) is the source of this 1131-nucleotide long non-coding RNA. The record is from Ensembl. NCBI's taxonomy places the organism in Eukaryota, Metazoa, Chordata, Aves, Galliformes, Phasianidae.
ACAGUUACAUCCAUCUUCCCAGGGAUGACACAACCUCCUCGUCCCCACGACUUCCAAGCAAAGCAGAUUUCCCAUGCACCGAUGCCACCUAGCUCCGCGUCAGCGCUUCUGGCAGAAGUGGGGAACUCAUGGCUUUGAGACGCUCCCAUUUCACGCAGAGUUUAUCUCCCUCUGACUGACAGCUGCGUGGACCCCGUCCAAGAGCUUCAGGUUUGCUUCCCCACUUCCUGAUGUCCUCUUAUGUCAGACACAAGAUUCAUUCUCCUGCCAAUACCCAGAGGUCUGGAGCACAGAACGCGCCUGUCGUGCUCUGCGUCUCCGCCAGCUUUGAUGGACGUAUGGGAUAUGAAAUGGACACUUUCUUCCUUGGGAGAAAAAAAGGGACUUUAUUUUAACUCGCUUGCCCCUCACUUAAAGUGGCAUCUGUCAGAAGGCAGCAUGAGACACAGAGGUGGAAAGAAGUGAAAGAGAGGCAUGGAAAACUGGAGCAAAAUGAGAGGCAAAGAAGAUGAAUGAAGAUAAACAAGCGCAAAUAAAAAGAGGAGAAAGGGCUGGAAAUCUUGAGCUAUUCCAUGGAUGAACAACAGACACCAAACCCUGCUGAUGAGAAGCAACUUCAAAUUUCAACCAACCCAUGAAGGAAAGGAGUUGUGGAUGAGGUUAAGGAGUGGAGGAGAACACAGAGGGGAGGUGGUCUCCGUGGACCUGUGUGGUGCAGAGCACUCAAUCCAUGUGGGACCAAGUUGGAAUGGGCAGCGACAACAGCACUGUGCUCCCAGAGCAGCCCUUGUAACUGGGACACAAUGAAACAAGAUAAAGGGGAGAGCCAAGGCAAACAGAACUUGCCUACUUUCAACAUUUAUUCCUAUAUAUUUUUUUAGAAAAAGAAAAUACAGACUAAGCACAUAAAUGGACAAGACUUACUUAGCUAAGUCAUUUUUUUCCCCUCCCUUGCACCACUUUGGAAAAUAAAUAGUUUUAAAUAAUUUUUUUCUUCAAUCCAAGGCCCGUACGUACACUGACAGCAAACCUUUAAGAGCUGCAUUUUUCCCCCCUUUUUUUCUUCUUCUUCUUCUUUUUUUUUUCUGCUGCUGUAAUUAUGGUCUCAUUAAGAUUCCAAUAAAAAACAGU